Molecule: ribosomal RNA, 518 nt
Filed under: uncultured bacterium
Lineage: Bacteria
Description: bacterial SSU rRNA
Rfam family: Bacterial small subunit ribosomal RNA
Source: RNAcentral
GAGUUUGAUCCUGGCUCAGGAUGAACGCUGGCGGCGUGCCUAACACAUGCAAGUCGAGCGAAGCACUUUACUUGAUUUCUUCGGAUUGAAGGUAUAGUGACUGAGCGGCGGACGGGUGAGUAACGCGUGGGUAACCUGCCUCAUACAGGGGGAUAACAGUUAGAAAUGAUUGCUAAUACCGCAUAAGACCACAGCACCGCAUGGUGCGGGGGUAAAAACUCCGGUGGUAUGAGAUGGACCCGCGUCUGAUUAGCUAGAUGGUAAGGUAAGGGCUUACCAAGGCGACGAUCAGUAGCCGACCUGAGAGGGUGACCGGCCACAUUGGGACUGAGACACGGCCCAAACUCCUACGGGAGGCAGCAGUGGGGAAUAUUGCACAAUGGGGGAAACCCUGAUGCAGCGACGCCGCGUGAGUGAUGAAGUAUUUCGGUAUGUAAAGCUCUAUCAGCAGGGAAGAAAAUGACGGUACCUGACUAAGAAGCACCGGCUAAAUACGUGCCAGCAGCCGCGGUAAUACG